This 440-nucleotide ribosomal RNA is filed under the name uncultured Aminobacterium sp. RNAcentral's name for it is "bacterial SSU rRNA". It matches the Rfam family "Bacterial small subunit ribosomal RNA", at positions 338 to 793 of the family's 1533-position model. Lineage: Bacteria; Thermotogati; Synergistota; Synergistia; Synergistales; Aminobacteriaceae. The record is from RNAcentral.
CCUACGGGGGGCAGCAGUGGGGAAUAUUGGGCAAUGGGCGCAAGCCUGACCCAGCGACGCCGCGUGAGGGAAGAAGGCCCUUGGGUCGUAAACCUCUGUUGUAUGGGAAGAAGGACGUGACGGUACCAUACGAGGAAGUCCCGGCUAACUACGUGCCAGCAGCCGCGGUAAUACGUAGGGGACGAGCGUUGUCCGGAAUUACUGGGCGUAAAGGGCGCGCAGGCGGAUAUUUAAGUCAGCUGUUAAAGUCAUGGGCUCAACUCAUGGAUGCGGUUGAAACUGGAUAUCUCGAGUGCUGGAGAGGUAGGCGGAAUUCCCGGUGUAGCGGUGAAAUGCGUAGAUAUCGGGAAGAACACCAGUGGCGAAGGCGGCUUACUGGCCAGCAACUGACGCUGAGGCGCGAAAGCCAGGGGAGCGAACGGGAUUAGAUACCCCAGUAG